GAUGAACGCUGGCGGCGUGCCUAAUACAUGCAAGUCGAACGCACCGAGAAGGGGACUUGUUCCUUUCAACGCGAGUGGCGAGCGGGUGAGUCACACGUGGGAAACCUACCCUUCAGUGGGGGAUAACCAUCGGAAACGAUGACUAAUACCUCAUUGUUGUUCCAGUCGCAUGACUGGAAUGGGAAAGGCGGCUUCUGUCGUCACUGGAGGAUGGUGCCGCGGUGCAUUAGCUUGACGGUGGGGUAACGGCCUACCGUGGCAAUGAUGCGUAGCCGACCUGAGAGGGUGAUCGGCCACACUGGAACUGAGACACGGCCCAGACUCCUACGGGAGGCAGCAGUAGGGAAUCUUCCGCAAUGGACGCAAGUCUGACGGAGCAACGCCGCGUGUGUGAAGAAGGUCUUCGGAUCGUAAAGCACUGUUAUCAGAGAAGAAUAACCUAGUGAGUAACUGUUCUAGGUUUGACGGUACCUGAUCAGAAAGCCACGGCUAACUACGUG
This 500-nucleotide ribosomal RNA is filed under the name uncultured bacterium. RNAcentral describes it as "partial 16S ribosomal RNA". It matches the Rfam family "Bacterial small subunit ribosomal RNA", at positions 28 to 507 of the family's 1533-position model. The record is from RNAcentral.